UACGAAGGGGGCUAGCGUUGCCCGGAAUCACUGGGCGUAAAGCGCACGUAGGCGGAUCUUUAAGUCAGGGGUGAAAUCCCAAGGCUCAACCUUGGAACUGCCUUUGAUACUGGGGAUCUCGAGUCCGGAAGAGGUGAGUGGAACUGCGAGUGUAGAGGUGAAAUUCGUAGAUAUUCGCAAGAACACCAGUGGCGAAGGCGGCUCACUGGUCCGGUACUGACGCUGAGGCACGAAAGCGUGGGGAGCAAACAGG
This 253-nucleotide ribosomal RNA is filed under the name uncultured bacterium. Its description in RNAcentral is "partial 16S ribosomal RNA". It matches the Rfam family "Bacterial small subunit ribosomal RNA", at positions 524 to 776 of the family's 1533-position model. The record is from RNAcentral.